This 497-nucleotide ribosomal RNA is filed under the name uncultured bacterium. Its description in RNAcentral is "partial 16S ribosomal RNA". It matches the Rfam family "Bacterial small subunit ribosomal RNA", at positions 28 to 507 of the family's 1533-position model. The record is from RNAcentral.
GAUGAACGCUGGCGGCGUGCCUAAUACAUGCAAGUCGAGCGAACGGACGAGAAGCUUGCUUCUCUGAUGUUAGCGGCGGACGGGUGAGUAACACGUGGAUAACCUACCUAUAAGACUGGGAUAACUUCGGGAAACCGGAGCUAAUACCGGAUGAUAUUUUGAACCGCAUGGUUCAAAAGUGAAAGACGGUCUUGCUGUCACUUAUAGAUGGAUCCGCGCUGCAUUAGCUAGUUGGUAAGGUAACGGCUUACCAAGGCAACGAUGCAUAGCCGACCUGAGAGGGUGAUCGGCCACACUGGAACUGAGACACGGUCCAGACUCCUACGGGAGGCAGCAGUAGGGAAUCUUACGCAAUAGGCGAAAGCCUGACGGAGCAACGCCGCGUGAGUGAUGAAGGUCUUCGGAUCGUAAAACUCUGUUAUUAGGGAAGAACAUAUGUGUAAGUAACUGUGCACAUCUUGACGGUACCUAAUCAGAAAGCCACGGCUAACUACGUG